Molecule: long non-coding RNA, 2069 nt
Filed under: Vulpes vulpes (red fox)
Lineage: Eukaryota; Metazoa; Chordata; Mammalia; Carnivora; Canidae
Description: lncRNA (ENSVVUG00000024572.1)
Source: RNAcentral
GGAAUAUGAUUGUCUUUCUGGGAUAAUUAUAAAGUAUCUAUCUUCUCAACAAGUCAUUAUACUGUUUUUUUUUUCUUUAUGUCAUUUUUUUUUCUUUAUGUCAUUUCUGUUGCAUUGCAACAAGCAAUAGCAAAAACUGCAAUAUUCUUUCAGCCCCACCUCUGGCUAUGUGGUUGGCUUUCAUCUCGGGUAUAUUUAUCUUCAUUCAUAAACUCGAACCCUUCUUGCUCUUGUCCCCUGUUCUAAGCACAACUUAGGUAAAAUCUCUACAUAAAUAUUGUGUUUUCUAGUUCAGAGUGGAUUAAGUAUCCACUUACUCAGAUAUGCAGAUAAACAAAGCUUUUAGAUUACUUUCAUUAUGAUUCAUAUUAUUAUGAAUACAUUCAUAGCAUGCAUUUGUAUUAUUUUCAUUUAGAUUAUGUUAUUGUUACUUUCAAUAAGGCCUAUAUUCAUCUACAAGGAGAAUCCUGGGCAGGUUGGUCUCAGAGAUCUGAGCACAAUGCCAAAGGUCAUACCAUCAUUCUAAGUACAGCUGGAACUACCGCCAACACAUCUGCAUUUCAGGCAGGAAGCCAGAAGAGAGACAGGAAGGACAAAAAGACUUUGUCAAAAGUUCCAUCUGAUGAUUGCUCCUUAUUGAUCACACUUAUCUGCAAGGGAAGCAGGGAAAUGUAAUUUUUCAUCUCAAACAAUAAUCCCAGAUCCUGUCAGUAAGAAAGAAGAGAAAGGAUACUGGCUAAGUGCUGAGCCAUCACUGCCAUAACACACCUCUACCAAAUGGUCAUCCAGCUCUGGAUGAUCCCCUCCAGGGACAGGAAAAUUCGCCACAACCAGAAGCAAACCAAUUUAAGAGCCCGCUGCCUUUUUCCUAUGUCUACCUGAAAUCUGCUUUCAUGAUGCUCUUACCUAGUCACUAACUCUGCCCAUGGCACAGAUGAGAACAAAUAGCAUUCUUCUUCUUCUUCUACAUUUGCCUCUCAGUUGCCUGAAAACACACAUUUUUCCAAAACUUCAUAUUACUGUCCUUGUUAUUUUGUUUUAUUGUAUUUGUUUCACCAGACUCCAUCUGAAAAAGCCCAGAUUAAUCCUGCUCUGGAUUUACCUCCCUUUGCAAGUUCCUCUUAAGGUAUAAUCUCAAGUGUGAACAUGACACAUUCAAUCUAUCAACAAGCUGUCUGUUGUCCCAGAUCUAAGAAAGUGAUUGAAGGUUAGUUAGGAUAUUGAGUCAUAAUUAACAAGUCUGUAUGGAAAUAGUGACCUUAAUCCAGAACAGUUUCUAUAAAAUUGGGAUGCACUGACUCUACCUUUGCAUUUUAGCAUAAAUGGUCAUUUAGUCUCCUGAAGUGUGGAGCUAGCUAUAAAUAUACAGACAGAUACAAAUGAACAACACUCCAUAGCUACAGCAUAGUUACAUUACCAAGAAUAUAAUCCCAUGUCUUAGAAUGAGAAUAAUAUGAAUAGAAAGGCCAGAAAAAACUCUCUGUCAAACUAUUUUUACCUCCCGCUCUGUACCUCCCACUCUGGCUUAGUCCUCCCUUCCCCAAGCCUGGACCAGACUCUCAUUUUGCCAUAUGCUGCCUGGAGUUUGAGCAGUACACUUAUUUCUAGAUGACAUGGAAAUGGCACUCGAGAGGAACUAAGUGCCUCUGACUUACACGACUGAGUGAGAAUUUGGAGGGAAAGGGCCCCCAGAUGCAGAUGGAAGAGGCGCACACAUGCGGCUCAGCUGUAAUUGCUGGAAGGCUGGGUUUGCUGAGGAAUAGAGAUGCUGACAAUAGAUACCCACAUAAAAACCAGGAAUGUUAGACCUACCCAGCUUUUCAUCUCACUGAAGAGACAAAGUGGGAUAAUAUUCUCUACCAUAUGGCUGCCAUUGAUCAUUCUUCCAGAAAAACCCAGCCAGUCCCAUAAAUCCAAGUCAUCAGAGAAAACAGCAACUCUAUCCAUCUCAGUUCACCUGUAGUCCCCUGGCCACCUGAGGGAGGGGUUGGCAUUACUUGUUCAUAUUAUAAGGAAACUGAGGUGUUCAUCAAACCACUCAGAGACAAUAAAGAAGGUCUUGCCUAUCA